Molecule: transfer RNA, 72 nt
Filed under: Cyphellophora europaea CBS 101466
Lineage: Eukaryota; Fungi; Ascomycota; Eurotiomycetes; Chaetothyriales; Cyphellophoraceae
Description: tRNA-His (GTG) (tRNA-His-GTG-1-1)
Rfam family: tRNA
About the family: Transfer RNA (tRNA) molecules are approximately 80 nucleotides in length.
Source: RNAcentral
GGUGCCUUAGUGCAGUGGUCAGCACGUUUCGUUGUGGCCGAAGAGACCUGGGUUCAAAUCUCAGAGGCGCCA